This 639-nucleotide ribosomal RNA is filed under the name uncultured fungus. RNAcentral's name for it is "eukaryotic LSU rRNA". It matches the Rfam family "Eukaryotic large subunit ribosomal RNA", at positions 24 to 664 of the family's 3401-position model. Lineage: Eukaryota; Fungi. The record is from RNAcentral.
CCCGCUGAACUUAAGCAUAUCAAUAAGCGGAGGAAAAGAAACUAACAAGGAUUCCCCUAGUAACUGCGAGUGAAGCGGGAAAAGCUCAAAUUUAAAAUCUGUCAGUCUUUGGCUGUCCGAGUUGUAAUCUAGAGAAGUGUUAUCCGCGCUGGACCGUGUACAAGUCUCCUGGAAUGGAGCGUCAUAGAGGGUGAGAAUCCCGUCUUUGACACGGACUGCCAGGGCUUUUGUGAUGCGCUCUCAAAGAGUCGAGUUGUUUGGGAAUGCAGCUCAAAAUGGGUGGUAAAUUCCAUCUAAAGCUAAAUAUUGGCGAGAGACCGAUAGCGAACAAGUACCGUGAGGGAAAGAUGAAAAGCACUUUGGAAAGAGAGUUAAACAGUACGUGAAAUUGUUGAAAGGGAAACGUUUGAAGUCAGUCGCGUCGGCCGAGACUCAACCUUGCGCUCGCGCUCGGUGCACUUCUCGGUUGACGGGUCAGCAUCAAUUUCGACCGCCGGACAAAGGUUGGGGGAAUGUGGCAUCCUUCGGGAUGUGUUAUAGCCCUUGAUUCACAUACGGCGAUUGGGAUUGAGGAACUCGGCGCCUCGCGCGUCCAGGAUGCUGGCAUAAUGGCUUUAAGCGACCCGUCUUGAAACACGG